GACGAACGCUGGCGGCGUGCCUAACACAUGCAAGUUGAGCGACGAACCAGGGCUUGCCCUGGGGCAAAGCAGCGAACGGGUGAGUAACACGUGGAUAACGUACCCCGAUAACCGGGACAACCCGAGGAAACUCGAGCUAAUACCGGAUGUGCCCAUCACACACCAGUGUGAUGUGUAAAGGAAGCUUCGGCCUCCGUAUUGGGAGCGGUCCGCGGCCCAUUAGCUAGUUGGUGAGGUAACGGCUCACCAAGGCAACGAUGGGUAGCUGGUCUGAGAGGACGAUCAGCCACACUGGGACUGAGACACGGCCCAGACUCCUACGGGAGGCAGCAGUGGGGAAUCUUGCGCAAUGCGCGAAAGCGUGACGCAGCAACGCCGCGUGGGGGAAGAA
RNAcentral lists this ribosomal RNA (391 nucleotides) under uncultured bacterium. Its description in RNAcentral is "bacterial SSU rRNA". It matches the Rfam family "Bacterial small subunit ribosomal RNA", at positions 28 to 412 of the family's 1533-position model. The record is from RNAcentral.